UACGGGGGGGGCAAGCGUUGUUCGGAAUUAUUGGGCGUAAAGGGCCAGUAGGCGGCCAACUAAGUCCGACGUGAAAUCCCAAGGCUUAACCUUGGAACUGCGUCGGAUACUGGAUGGCUUGAAUGCGGGAGAGGGAUGCAGAAUUCCAGGUGUAGCGGUGAAAUGCGUAGAUAUCUGGAGGAAUACCGGUGGCGAAGGCGGCAUCCUGGACCGACAUUGACGCUGAACGGCGAGAGCUAGGGGAGCAAACGGG
This 253-nucleotide ribosomal RNA is filed under the name uncultured bacterium. RNAcentral describes it as "partial 16S ribosomal RNA". It matches the Rfam family "Bacterial small subunit ribosomal RNA", at positions 524 to 776 of the family's 1533-position model. The record is from RNAcentral.